AGAUUGAACGCUGGCGGCAUGCCUAACACAUGCAAGUCGAACGGGAGUAGCAACACUCUAGUGGCGGACGGGUGAGGAAUACGUAGGAAUUUGCCCUUAAGUGGGGGAUAACCCGGGGAAACCCGGAUUAAUACCGCAUGACCUCGAAAGAGCAAAGUGGGGGAUCGCAAGACCUCACGCUUUUGGAGAAGCCUACGUCGGAUUAGCUAGUUGGUGAGGUAAAGGCUCACCAAGGCGACGAUCCUUAGCUGGUCUGAGAGGAUGAUCAGCCACACUGGGACUGAGACACGGCCCAGACUCCUACGGGAGGCAGCAGUGGGGAAUAUUGGACAAUGGGCGAAAGCCUAGAUCCAGCAAUGCCGCGUGAGUGAUGAAGGCCUUAGGGUUGUAAAGCUUCUUUACCGGAUGAUAAUGACAGUACCGGAGAAUAAGCUCCGGCUAACUCCGUGCCAGCAGCCGAC
Molecule: ribosomal RNA, 461 nt
Filed under: uncultured soil bacterium
Lineage: Bacteria
Description: bacterial SSU rRNA
Rfam family: Bacterial small subunit ribosomal RNA
Source: RNAcentral